GACGAACGCUGGCGGCGUGCCUAAUACAUGCAAGUUGAGCGCUGAAGGUUGGUACUUGUACCGACUGGAUGAGCAGCGAACGGGUGAGUAACGCGUGGGGAAUCUGCCUUUGAGCGGGGGACAACAUUUGGAAACGAAUGCUAAUACCGCAUAAAAACUUUAAACACAAGUUUUAAGUUUGAAAGAUGCAAUUGCAUCACUCAAAGAUGAUCCCGCGUUGUAUUAGCUAGUUGGUGAGGUAAAGGCUCACCAAGGCGAUGAUACAUAGCCGACCUGAGAGGGUGAUCGGCCACAUUGGGACUGGGACACGGCCCAAACUCCUACGGGAGGCAGCAGUAGGGAAUCUUCGGCAAUGGACGAAAGUCUGACCGAGCAACGCCGCGUGAGUGAAGAAGGUUUUCGGAUCGUAAAACUCUGUUGGUAGUGAAGAACGUUGGUGAGAGUGGAAAGCUCAUCAAGUGACGGUAACUACCCAGAAAGGGACGGCUAACUACGUG
Molecule: ribosomal RNA, 497 nt
Filed under: uncultured bacterium
Lineage: Bacteria
Description: partial 16S ribosomal RNA
Rfam family: Bacterial small subunit ribosomal RNA
Source: RNAcentral